ACGGAGGGUGCGAGCGUUGUUCGGAAUUAUUGGGCGUAAAGCGCGUGUAGGCGGUUUGGUAAGUCUGAUGUGAAAGCCCCGGGCUCAACCUGGGAAGUGCAUUGGAAACUGUCAGACUUGAAUACGGGAGAGGGUAGUGGAAUUCCUAGUGUAGGAGUGAAAUCCGUAGAUAUUAGGAGGAACACCGGUGGCGAAGGCGGCUACCUGGACCGAUAUUGACGCUGAGACGCGAAAGCGUGGGGAGCAAACAG
Molecule: ribosomal RNA, 251 nt
Filed under: uncultured prokaryote
Description: partial 16S ribosomal RNA
Rfam family: Bacterial small subunit ribosomal RNA
Source: RNAcentral